RNAcentral lists this ribosomal RNA (324 nucleotides) under Triticum aestivum (bread wheat). Its description in RNAcentral is "partial small subunit ribosomal RNA". The record is from RNAcentral. Lineage: Eukaryota; Viridiplantae; Streptophyta; Magnoliopsida; Poales; Poaceae.
AUGGUGUGGCCGGCAGCAAGGCUUGUGCUCGUCCUCGUCACUUUGCUCACGCUUUGGAGCAGCGACGUUGCCGUUGCAUCGCCGUUGGCGGCGUCGGUGCGGGUCGGCGUGGUGCUGGACCUGACGAGCGUGGGGAGGGAGAGGCGCGCUUGCAUUUCCAUGGCGUUGGACGACUUCCAUGCCGCUCAUGCCGGCUCCGGUGCCACGUGGAUCGAGCUGCUCCUACGAGACUCGCGCGGGGAUCUUGCCACGGCUGCACAUGCUGGGCUCAAUUUGAUUGUUUCUCAUCACAAGUUUAGAUUUCAAGGUGUAUUAAAUAAUUAA